AAAGUCACAAUUGAGAACUUGACCUUGACCUUUGACCUUGACCUUAUUUUCUAAGUUAGUACCUAGGGGACUCAUAUAAAAACAUUCCAGGGUUGUACGGUUAAUGGUUUAUAAGUUAAAAAUACAUUCCGACAAAUUUAUUUUGUAAAGGUAGAUAACUCCUAUAAAAUUUCAUCAAAUCGCUUCGAUCCAAAUUAGCCAAAAAUUCCUAAGGAUGUAACGAACAAUUUGUAAAAAGAAUUUUGUCGAUAUCUUUUUUUGUUACGAAGGAGAUGCACACAAAUGAUAAACAGUAAAUAGGGAGAUAACUCUUACAAAGAAAAUUGUUCGUCUUCACAGGGU
This 342-nucleotide long non-coding RNA is filed under the name Mytilus galloprovincialis (Mediterranean mussel). The record is from RNAcentral. Lineage: Eukaryota; Metazoa; Mollusca; Bivalvia; Mytilida; Mytilidae.